GGCUUAGGAUGAACGCUGGCGGCGUGCUUAACACAUGCAAGUCGAACGAAGCAUCUGGUCUGAUUCUUCGGAUUGAAGACCUUAUGACUUAGUGGCGGACGGGUGAGUAACGCGUGGGCAAUCUGCCCCAUACCGGGGGACAACAGUUGGAAACGACUGCUAAUACCGCAUAAGCGCACGGGACCGCAUGGUCUUGUGUGAAAAACUCCGGUGGUAUGGGAUGAGCCCGCGUUGGAUUAGGUAGUUGGUGAGGUAACGGCCCACCAAGCCGACGAUCCAUAGCCGACCUGAGAGGGUGACCGGCCACAUUGGGACUGAGACACGGCCCAAACUCCUACGGGAGGCAGCAGUGGGGAAUAUUGCACAAUGGGGGAAACCCUGAUGCAGCCGACGCCGCGUGAGUGAAGAAGUAUUUCGGUAUGUAAAGCUCUAUCAGCAGGGAAGAAGAUGACGGUACCUGCACAAGAAGCCCCGGCUAACUACGUGCCAGCCGCCGC
This 497-nucleotide ribosomal RNA is filed under the name uncultured bacterium. Its description in RNAcentral is "bacterial SSU rRNA". It matches the Rfam family "Bacterial small subunit ribosomal RNA", at positions 21 to 518 of the family's 1533-position model. The record is from RNAcentral.